This 76-nucleotide transfer RNA is filed under the name Candidatus Jordarchaeum sp. RNAcentral's name for it is "tRNA-Val". It matches the Rfam family "tRNA". Rfam says of the family: Transfer RNA (tRNA) molecules are approximately 80 nucleotides in length. Their secondary structure includes four short double-helical elements and three loops (D, anti-codon, and T loops). Lineage: Archaea; Promethearchaeati; Candidatus Jordarchaeia; Candidatus Jordarchaeales; Candidatus Jordarchaeaceae. The record is from RNAcentral.
GGGCGAGUAGUCUAGCGGUUAUGACGUCGCCUUGACGUGGCGAAGGUCGCAGGUUCAAAUCCUGCUUCGCCCACCA